AUAUUUCUCUCUUGAAACCCUCCCCCCCUUCCCCAAGAAAAAAAUUCUAAUAAUUAUUUUAUUUUCCAUUAUCUUUCCCACUCUUUUCUUUUUUUUUUCUCAAAAAAAUAAAUUUAUAUUUAAUUUCUCUAAAAAAGGAUUAUUACCAUUUUCCCCAAGCUCUUUCUCUCCCUAACAAAAAGGGGUCGUUUAUCUUGUUCCGUUUCGGUUAUUUUAGGGUUUCGUUUAAUCAAAGGCCGUUGAAGGAGGACGAUUUAAUGGCGGCUGCGACGGCGCAAGGGAUGGACCCAGCUGUACUAGACGAUAUAAUCAGACGGCUAACGGAAGUCCGGUCAGCCAGGCCAGGGAAACAAGUGCAAUUAUCUGAAUCUGAGAUCAAACAGCUUUGUGUUGCUUCGAAAGAUAUCUUCGUUCAACAACCUAAUUUGCUUGAACUCGAAGCACCCAUCAAAAUUUGCGGUGACAUACAUGGGCAAUAUAGUGACUUACUAAGGCUGUUCGAGUAUGGGGGUUUUCCUCCUCAUGCUAAUUACCUAUUUCUAGGCGACUAUGUUGAUCGUGGCAAGCAGAGUUUGGAAACUAUAUGUCUUUUACUUGCUUAUAAGAUUAAGUACCCAGAGAACUUUUUUCUAUUGCGAGGAAACCAUGAAUGUGCAUCUAUUAAUCGGAUAUAUGGAUUUUAUGAUGAAUGCAAACGACGGUUUAAUGUGAGACUGUGGAAAUGCUUUACUGAGUGCUUUAACUGUCUUCCUGUGGCGGCUCUUAUAGAUGACAAAAUAUUGUGUAUGCAUGGUGGUCUUUCCCCUGACUUGACAAACCUGGAUCAAAUUAGAAACUUAUCUCGUCCAACUGCAAUUCCUGACACCGGUUUGCUGUGUGAUUUGCUCUGGUCUGACCCUGAUAGAGAUGUUAAAGGAUGGGGAAUGAAUGACAGAGGAGUUUCGUACACCUUUGGUGCGGAUAAGGUGUCUGAAUUCUUAGCAAAGCAUGAUUUAGAUCUUGUUUGCCGUGCGCAUCAGGUUGUGGAGGAUGGUUACGAAUUCUUUGCUGAUAGGCAACUUGUUACAAUAUUUUCAGCACCUAACUAUUGUGGUGAAUUUGAUAAUGCUGGUGCGAUGAUGAGUGUCGAUGAAAACCUGAUGUGUUCUUUCCAGAUUCUCAAGCCAGCAGAGAAAAAAGCAAAGUUCAUGUCCACUAAAAUGUAAUGGUUGCAGCUAUCAACAUUUAAUGGCUUGCAAGUCUUUACGAAGAUUCAGGCUGUAUGAUUAUCUGGAUCACCUCUAAGUAGAGAAUAUUCAAAAGUCGAAAAAGGCUUCUAAUGGGGAAGAAUGGAAAUGAUUUUCUUUCUAUUGUAUAAUUUAGUGAUCAACCCCCCUAUCCUCAGUAUCUACUUGCUCGAUUGUCCGCCUUCUUCUCCUUCAAUGUACUCUUUUGUCGGUUCUGAAUAUUGGUGAUUGUUAUCCAUCACCCUCCAAAAAUGGUUGAAACUGAAGACUGCUGGCACCCAAACUUUUGCUAGAGGAGAUGCAAGUGAUGGCUUUAUGGAUACUGUUUGUAGGGUAAAAAGGUUUUCAAGUCUGCUUUCGUGUAGCAUAAGCCGCCACUGUAUUUCUCUUAAUUCUUCUUCUCUAUUUUCCCCUCCAUUUUCUACCUUUUUUCUUUAUAGCAGUUAAUCUGCGGUUCAUGUAUAGAUAUAUCUGGUCUGACAGCUCAUAGUCGUGCUUUGAGUUGUUGGAACAAUAAAAUAUGGCCGCUUUUGUCGUCAAAGGAUUUUUUUCGUAUUUCGCAGACUUUUUGCUAAUUGAGAUGUUUGUAUUGGGUAUGUUUAGGUGCAAUCAAAUGUUAUGAGAUGAUUAGCUGCAAUUAAGAGCCUGUUGCUCACGUGUAAUGAUUAAUUUUGUUUUUGAACA
Gossypium raimondii (Peruvian cotton) is the source of this 1910-nucleotide RNA transcript. It is a transcript of the gene named serine/threonine-protein phosphatase PP1 isozyme 4, with no coding region annotated. NCBI's taxonomy places the organism in Eukaryota, Viridiplantae, Streptophyta, Magnoliopsida, Malvales, Malvaceae. The record is from RefSeq and is a predicted model, not a curated record. The transcript is spliced from 5 exons.